Non-coding RNA from Etheostoma cragini (Arkansas darter), 576 nucleotides. NCBI's taxonomy places the organism in Eukaryota, Metazoa, Chordata, Actinopteri, Perciformes, Percidae. The record is from the annotation of a RefSeq genome assembly.
AGUGACACCGGUGCUUUAAAAAAUGGCUUUGUAACACAGGCCACUUUUCUCUUGUAUUUGAAUGAGAUUUUCCGAUCAUUAUAGCCCCUCCCUUACAUAUCCCAAUGCAAAUCUAGGGUUUUCAGAGGGUAUAGGCCUACUACUGUCCUCCCACUGAAUUAUGGUUAGUGUGUAUCAGUACAAAUCUUCAGUCUUAAGAUGAUGGACAAACUGUGUGUUCUGCUGACAGCGCUCUGUCUGCCCAGUUUAAAUGGCCAGGCUCUGGAGUCCAUUCCCUCCAUUUCAGUGUUGAAAAAGCCUGAGGAGGCCAUCAGUCUUUCAUGCAGGGGAACUGGAUUUGAUUUCGGCAAUAGUGGAAUGCACUGGAUCAGACAACCUGCAGGAAAAACACUGGAAUGGAUGGGGCUUAUUUACUAUGAUGCCAGUAAAACACAGUAUGCAAGCAGUGUGCAAGGACGUAUAGAAAUCACCAGAGAUAAUAGCAACAGCAUGGUGUAUCUGAGACUGUCCAACCUAAAACUAGAGGACUCUGCUGUGUAUUACUGCGCUAGUGUCGCACACUGUUUAUUGUAAGCA